UGGGGAAUAUUGGACAAUGGGCGCAAGCCUGAUCCAGCCAUGCCGCGUGAGUGAUGAAGGCCCUAGGGUUGUAAAGCUCUUUCACCGGUGAAGAUAAGGACGGUAACCGGAGAAGAAGCCCCGGCUAACUUCGUGCCAGCAGCCGCGGUAAUACGAAGGGGGCUAGCGUUGUUCGGAUUUACUGGGCGUAAAGCGCACGUAGGCGGACUAUUAAGUCAGGGGUGAAAUCCCGGGGCUCAACCCCGGAACUGCCUUUGAUACUGGUAGUCUUGAGUUCGAGAGAGGUGAGUGGAAUUCCGAGUGUAGAGGUGAAAUUCGUAGAUAUUCGGAGGAACACCAGUGGCGAAGGCGGCUCACUGGCUCGAUACUGACGCUGAGGUGCGAAAGCGUGGGGAGCAAACAGG
Molecule: ribosomal RNA, 404 nt
Filed under: Actinomycetes bacterium
Lineage: Bacteria; Bacillati; Actinomycetota; Actinomycetes
Description: Actinobacteria bacterium partial 16S ribosomal RNA
Rfam family: Bacterial small subunit ribosomal RNA
Source: RNAcentral